GGCGGAGGUGGCGGCGGUGGCGGAUGCGGUGGAGGUGGCGGCGGUGGCGGAUGCGGUGGCGGUGGCGGCGGAGGUUGCUAAAGUCCCGAGCGUGUGCACUAAUACAUGGCAAUAAAGGCAUCAGGUCUCGUUGCGAUUGGAAGCAGCUGCAUGUACCAGUUAUUCCGCUGGUUAUAUAUAUUUCAUCUGGCCGCUAUCCGGAGCCAGUUACGGAUGUGUAAAAUAACGAAACUUAUAUCUAAGAAAUCUAUCAUUUGAAAACUUAUAGUAGACGGCAUGGGAGCAACCCGAUCAUCUCCGCAGUCCGCAGGUGGCGGCGCUUGGAGGUUGGGGUGGAAGGGGUGGUGGCGGAGGUUGCUGUGGUGCUGGAGGUUGUUAGCAAACACAUGCUAAUAAGGUAUCAGGUUAUACACAUGUUAUCUGGCCAAUAUCCAAAAUCAAUUAUCUGUAAAAUAAUGAAAACUUAUAUCUUUGAAAUAAAUUAUUUGAAGUGAUUGUUUCUUUUUCA
Molecule: non-coding RNA, 508 nt
Organism: Phoenix dactylifera (date palm)
Lineage: Eukaryota; Viridiplantae; Streptophyta; Magnoliopsida; Arecales; Arecaceae
Source: RefSeq, a predicted model, not a curated record